Molecule: ribosomal RNA, 2935 nt
Filed under: Pectobacterium versatile
Lineage: Bacteria; Pseudomonadati; Pseudomonadota; Gammaproteobacteria; Enterobacterales; Pectobacteriaceae
Description: 23S ribosomal RNA
Rfam family: Bacterial large subunit ribosomal RNA
Source: RNAcentral
GGGUUGUGAGGUUAAGCGACUAAGCGUACACGGUGGAUGCCUAGGCAGUCAGAGGCGAUGAAGGGCGUGCUAAUCUGCGAUAAGCGUCGGUAAGCUGAUAUGAAGCGUUAUACCCGACGAUACCCGAAUGGGGAAACCCAGUGUGUUUCGACACACUAUCAUUACGUGAAUACAUAGCGUAAUGAGGCGAACCGGGGGAACUGAAACAUCUCAGUACCCCGAGGAAAAGAAAUCAACCGAGAUUCCCCAGUAGCGGCGAGCGAACGGGGAGGAGCCCAGAACCUGAAUCAGUUUGUGUGUUAGUGGAAGCGUCUGGAAAGUCGCACAGUAAAGGGUGAUAGUCCCGUACACAAAAAUGCACAGAUUGUGAGUUCGAUGAGUAGGGCGGGACACGUGACAUCCUGUCUGAAUAUGGGGGGACCAUCCUCCAAGGCUAAAUACUCCUGACUGACCGAUAGUGAACCAGUACCGUGAGGGAAAGGCGAAAAGAACCCCGGCGAGGGGAGUGAAAUAGAACCUGAAACCGUGUACGUACAAGCAGUGGGAGCCUUGAUUAAUCAGGGUGACUGCGUACCUUUUGUAUAAUGGGUCAGCGACUUAUAUUCUGUAGCAAGGUUAACCGUAUAGGGGAGCCGUAGGGAAACCGAGUCUUAACUGGGCGUUAAGUUGCAGGGUAUAGACCCGAAACCCGGUGAUCUAGCCAUGGGCAGGUUGAAGGUUGGGUAACACUAACUGGAGGACCGAACCGACUAAUGUUGAAAAAUUAGCGGAUGACUUGUGGCUGGGGGUGAAAGGCCAAUCAAACCGGGAGAUAGCUGGUUCUCCCCGAAAGCUAUUUAGGUAGCGCCUCGUGAAUUCAUCUUCGGGGGUAGAGCACUGUUUCGGCUAGGGGGUCAUCCCGACUUACCAACCCGAUGCAAACUACGAAUACCGAAGAAUGUUAUCACGGGAGACACACGGCGGGUGCUAACGUUCGUCGUGAAGAGGGAAACAACCCAGACCGCCAGCUAAGGUCCCAAAGUCAUGGUUAAGUGGGAAACGAUGUGGGAAGGCACAGACAGCCAGGAUGUUGGCUUAGAAGCAGCCAUCAUUUAAAGAAAGCGUAAUAGCUCACUGGUCGAGUCGGCCUGCGCGGAAGAUGUAACGGGGCUAAACCAUGCACCGAAGCUGCGGCAGCGACACUUAGGUGUUGUUGGGUAGGGGAGCGUUCUGUAAGCCGUCGAAGGUGGCCUGUGAGGGUUGCUGGAGGUAUCAGAAGUGCGAAUGCUGACAUAAGUAACGAUAAUGCGGGUGAAAAACCCGCACGCCGGAAGACCAAGGGUUCCUGUCCAACGUUAAUCGGGGCAGGGUGAGUCGACCCCUAAGGCGAGGCUGAAAAGCGUAGUCGAUGGGAAACAGGUUAAUAUUCCUGUACUCGGUGUUACUGCGAAGGGGGACGGAGAAAGCUAGGUUAUCCGGGCGACGGUUGUCCCGGUUUAAGCGUGAAGGUGGAUGACUUUGGUAAAUCCGGGUCGUCAUUAACACUGAGGCGUGAUGACGAGUCACUACGGUGAUGAAGUAACCAAUGCUACGCUUCCAGGAAAAGCCUCUAAGCUCCAGGUAACAUCAAAUCGUACCCCAAACCGACACAGGUGGUCAGGUAGAGAAUACUCAGGCGCUUGAGAGAACUCGGGUGAAGGAACUAGGCAAAAUGGUGCCGUAACUUCGGGAGAAGGCACGCUGAUGGUAGGUGAAGUGACUUGCUCACGGAGCUGAAAUCAGUCGAAGAUACCAGCUGGCUGCAACUGUUUAAUAAAAACACAGCACUGUGCAAACACGAAAGUGGACGUAUACGGUGUGACGCCUGCCCGGUGCCGGAAGGUUAAUUGAUGGGGUCAGCCGCAAGGCGAAGCUCUUGAUCGAAGCCCCGGUAAACGGCGGCCGUAACUAUAACGGUCCUAAGGUAGCGAAAUUCCUUGUCGGGUAAGUUCCGACCUGCACGAAUGGCGUAAUGAUGGCCAGGCUGUCUCCACCCGAGACUCAGUGAAAUUGAACUCGCUGUGAAGAUGCAGUGUACCCGCGGCAAGACGGAAAGACCCCGUGAACCUUUACUAUAGCUUGACACUGAACCUUGAGCCUUGAUGUGUAGGAUAGGUGGGAGGCUUUGAAGCGUGGACGCCAGUCUGCGUGGAGCCAACCUUGAAAUACCACCCUUUAAUGUUUGAUGUUCUAACGUGGGCCCGUGAUCCGGGUUGCGGACAGUGUCUGGUGGGUAGUUUGACUGGGGCGGUCUCCUCCCAAAGCGUAACGGAGGAGCACGAAGGUUAGCUAAUCCUGGUCGGACAUCAGGAGGUUAGUGCAAAGGCAUAAGCUAGCUUGACUGCGAGAGUGACAGCUCGAGCAGGUGCGAAAGCAGGUCUUAGUGAUCCGGUGGUUCUGAAUGGAAGGGCCAUCGCUCAACGGAUAAAAGGUACUCCGGGGAUAACAGGCUGAUACCGCCCAAGAGUUCAUAUCGACGGCGGUGUUUGGCACCUCGAUGUCGGCUCAUCACAUCCUGGGGCUGAAGUAGGUCCCAAGGGUAUGGCUGUUCGCCAUUUAAAGUGGUACGCGAGCUGGGUUUAGAACGUCGUGAGACAGUUCGGUCCCUAUCUGCCGUGGGCGUUGGAAGAUUGAGAGGGGUUGCUCCUAGUACGAGAGGACCGGAGUGAACGCACCACUGGUGUUCGGGUUGUGAUGCCAAUUGCAUUGCCCGGUAGCUAAGUGCGGAAGAGAUAACCGCUGAAAGCAUCUAAGCGGGAAACUUGCCUCGAGAUGAGUCUUCCCUGGGCACUAGAUGCCCCUGAAGGGCCGUUGAAGACUACGACGUAGAUAGGCUGGGUGUGUAAGCGUAGCGAUACGUUGAGCUAACCAGUACUAAUGACCCGAGAGGCUUAACCUUACAACACCGAAGGUGUUU